This is a non-coding RNA of Prunus persica (peach), 110 nucleotides long. Lineage: Eukaryota; Viridiplantae; Streptophyta; Magnoliopsida; Rosales; Rosaceae. The record is from Rfam.
UUGGGAGCUCACUGGCUUCGGAGUCAUAAGAACUCUAAAGUUAAGCGAGUUUGGGUUACAGCAAUCCCAGGAUGGGUGACCCACUAGGAAGUUGCUAGUGAGUUCCUAGA